Eriocheir sinensis (Chinese mitten crab) is the source of this 1129-nucleotide long non-coding RNA. RefSeq lists it as uncharacterized. The transcript has 6 exons. The record is from RefSeq and is a predicted model, not a curated record. Lineage: Eukaryota; Metazoa; Arthropoda; Malacostraca; Decapoda; Varunidae.
GGGAGAGAAGGACGGCUCAGUCUACUCCGAGGUAUUACACCGGGAGGAGGGACAGGAUGGCGGAGGGACGCACUACGCUGUUUUUCCUGCUGGGGGCGCUGGUGGGGGUCGUCAUGCCCUCCCCCAUCCCUGCCCCCCACCUCAACGAGGUGGUGAGGGGGGACUCGCCUCUACACAACACCCUGGCGCGCCUCGACAACCUGCUGGAGCGACGGAGCGAGUACAACGACGUGAUGGAGGAGUCCGGGGAGGAGGAUGACGCCCUCUCCAGGGUUUUGUAUCAGCUUCAGGAAGGAGAACUAGAUGGCAACACUGACUUGGCAAGCAAGGUGAUGACUAGACUUCUGGGCGCCUUGAGGAGAGCCGAAGGAGAGGACGUGAUACGAAGUCGUGUUACCCGAAUGGCGAAGAGAAGCCGCAGCAGAGAGAGCGGACGAAGCAAGGAAAAGAAGUGCAAAAGAAAACGAAAUCGCAACAGGGGACGCCGCCCACGACCCAGCAAGGAAAGACGACGACCAAGUAGGGAGCGACGACCACGACCGAGCCAGGAACGGUGCGUGGAUGAUGAAACGACUUCGACGACUACAACUCCUACUACUAGGCCUACUUCUACUACGACUACCCCAUCUACGAAUACAACGACUACUGCUCGAACAACCACUUCAUCUACUACUCCAUCUACUGCUAGGACUACUACUACGACAACAACUCCAACUUCUAAUUCUACCUCUACUACUGCUGCGACUACCACUACCACCCGUAGGACACCAGCUCUCUAAUAAACAAACCACCACCACUACUACUACUACUACUACUACUACUACUACUACUACUACUACUACUACUACUACUACUACUUUUACUACUUCUUGUCACUUACGAACGCUUACGACAAUUAAUGUAAACUGGACGCAAGACCUUGAGUGUUCCAAAAUUAAUUCAACAUAAAAAAAAAAACCUGGACUAGCUUUUCCAUUUACGUAAACAGACAAAAACCUGAAUAAACACUAACAAAGGAAUAUAUAAUGAUAAUAAUAAUGGUAAGUGAACUAGCAAUGGGUGUAGAGUGAGUCACAAAUACAUGUUGGGUUUGCAAAAUUUCAUGGCGAAUAAACUUUAAUGUUCUGGA